This 1261-nucleotide long non-coding RNA is filed under the name Medicago truncatula (barrel medic). RNAcentral's name for it is "lncRNA gene2721". Lineage: Eukaryota; Viridiplantae; Streptophyta; Magnoliopsida; Fabales; Fabaceae. The record is from RNAcentral.
UUUCUCUCUUUCUUCCUCUCACCCUUUUUACGAUCCAUUUCUCUGAGAAUCACUCAUCCUCCAUUCUUCUCUCUCUCCCUCGCUGAAAUCUUCUUCUUCCUUCACAAUUCAUUUGUUCAAUUCACUAUCUCUUUCUUCUUCUCUUUCGCAACCUUCAAUCUAUCUCAUCCUCAUGAAAAAAAUUGAUUGUCUUCAGUUAUUUCUUCAAUGUUGUAACUUUUCUGAACCCUAAUUUCAAUUUUUUUCUCCUUUAGCUCUGUGAUACAUGAUUUCGAUUCGCCAUGGUUCAAUAACAAUCCUCUCAUGCGAAGGUAAUUCAUAUGUUCUAUGUUAUUAACUUUUUAAUUUUGUUUAGAAAUUUUGAUUAAUGUUCACUGCUUCUGAUCCUGUUGUUGGAAUGUUUUUGUUUACAAAUGAGAACUCUGUUUUGCACAUGGGAGGAAGAUGCGAUUUCUGGCAUUGAUGAUGGUGGUCAUGCUUUAAUGACUGCUCAUAUUUGACAACAUAGAUAAUGGAAGCUUAAAGGAGCAUCUGAAUGACCCCUUGAAGACUCCCUUAAAUUGGAGGACGAGAUUGCAGAUAGCUAAUGGUGUUGUGGCUGCACUGGUAAGCUCUUUAAUUAAAGCAUGUCCAGCUUGAUAGUGCACUCUUAUUUUAAUUUAUGUUACAAUUAAUUUGAAACCUUAUAUUUUAAGUCUCCUAUACUUUGAUUAUGGAUGUGGAAAAGUCCCUGCUAAAUUGACAGGGUUCAGUCUUUACUCUGUGUUAGGCCCCUGUCUAAAGAAAAUUGCUUGGUCAAUUUUGCGAAAUGAAUGAUGGAAAUAUACUAGGCUACUUGGUUUUCUUCGACGAUUGUCUGAGUUAUCUUAUGUCUGUUCAAUUUAUGUUUAGUGUCAUUUAGAAAUUGAUCUUAACCUACCAAAAAUUUGACUUUAGGCAGGAAGGCUAACUACAUGUUUGUUCAACUUAUUAAUCAAUUGUUAUCUAAAGUUGACUGUCAUGACUAAAGUAUAUUAUAUCUAUCGAAGUUUAAAUCCUGUUGGUUUGUUUUGUUUUUCAUAAAAAAUAGGGUAAUUAGUUUAGUUUAGGUUUCAUAAAAAAAUAGGAGAUGAUUUCCUUUUGAUAUGUUGUUUUUGAUUUAUUUUGAUUAAAUUAAAUAGGGUUAAUUAAACAGGGAUAAUACAGUAAAAUUAAUCAUCAAAGUUAGAUUAAGGCCCCGUUUGGAUUGGCUUAUUUUGAGCUUAUGUGGGCUUAUCUACUC